AAGGGUCCGCGGCCUGGGACAACGGGAGUCAGUGAGGACUACUGCGCUCUUUCUCUAUGUUUGAAAUGAGCUAUGGGAAGGGAAUCUACACGGAAAAAAAGACGGACAAAAUGGGCCGAAGGAAUGACAUUGGGAAGAGGAGGUAUGGACAUGCUGGAAUAGAGAGAGAAGUGAACCAGGGAAGAAAGAGACGGGCUCAGUGUCUUGAUCCAGAGACAUGUCCACCCUGUUGGCCAGCAUCUCCUGUAGAGCUCGCACGGAGAGGGACUGCUCCAGGACGAAGGUACAGAUCGCCAGGUCGGGGGGAACUUUCUGGACAAGAGGGACAAUAAGAAACCACGAACGGUCAACCACAUGGACAACGGACAAGAAUGGAUCCCAUCCUGACCAUGGAAUUAGGUGGAUGAGAUAAGAACAAAUACUGGGAAGUUUCUCCUGCAGAGUGCCCGAGGAGAGGCUUCAGCGGGACACAGAUCACGGACCAAUCCCUCCACUCAAUCACCGGCCCACACAGGAGUCCACCACAACACCAGCCUAGCAUAUGAACUCUACACUUUACCACUUUACACUCUACACUACACACUUCAUGUCCUUAACCCCCCCCCGUACACACACACACACACACACACACACACACACACACACACACACUUAGUACCUGUCCAGUUGCACACCAGAACAGUCUUUUUAAAUUAUCAAAAUGACAUUAACAUAAAUAAAGUUGCAAUAUGAUACACUA
This is a long non-coding RNA of Sardina pilchardus (European sardine), 739 nucleotides long. RefSeq lists it as uncharacterized. NCBI's taxonomy places the organism in Eukaryota, Metazoa, Chordata, Actinopteri, Clupeiformes, Clupeidae. The record is from RefSeq and is a predicted model, not a curated record. The transcript has 3 exons.